UGUUAGUGAAAUCUGGAGAUGUCAUCUAGGACCUGGGAAGAGUUAUCUUUUAUUUUUAACGACUUUCCCACCCUGAAAUAGGUUCAAUCGAAGAUAGGGUCCAACAUCUGGAAGAGCACCACACGUCUUGCGAUGUUUGGUGCCCCCUCGACGGCCAUUGAAAAUAUGGAGAAUCAAGUACCAUCCAUGCCCGAUCAUACUCAUAUUUGCCUCCUU
Molecule: non-coding RNA, 216 nt
Organism: Picea glauca (white spruce)
Lineage: Eukaryota; Viridiplantae; Streptophyta; Pinopsida; Pinales; Pinaceae
Source: Rfam